AGGAAAUGUGCCCGAGAAUUUAAGGGUUACUUUGAUAGAGUAAUAUACAGGGACACUAAACCCUCAUUUCCU
This 72-nucleotide transfer RNA is filed under the name Aspidoscelis marmoratus (Marbled whiptail). RNAcentral's name for it is "tRNA-Ile". Lineage: Eukaryota; Metazoa; Chordata; Lepidosauria; Squamata; Teiidae. RNAcentral also lists the same sequence under 4 other names. The record is from RNAcentral.